GGAGGUAAAUGAUGUAAAAUCACUUUAUGCUUUUUCACUGAAUUUCCGUGUGGAUAAAAAAACUCCGCUUAUUGUCUGAUGCCUCU
Molecule: small nucleolar RNA, 86 nt
Filed under: Erythranthe guttata (spotted monkey flower)
Lineage: Eukaryota; Viridiplantae; Streptophyta; Magnoliopsida; Lamiales; Phrymaceae
Description: Mimulus guttatus (spotted monkey flower) Small nucleolar RNA R16
Rfam family: Small nucleolar RNA R16
About the family: snoR16 is a member of the C/D class of snoRNA which contain the C (UGAUGA) and D (CUGA) box motifs. Most of the members of the box C/D family function in directing site-specific 2'-O-methylation of substrate RNAs.
Source: Rfam by way of RNAcentral